RNAcentral lists this ribosomal RNA (465 nucleotides) under uncultured bacterium. RNAcentral describes it as "partial 16S ribosomal RNA". It matches the Rfam family "Bacterial small subunit ribosomal RNA", at positions 338 to 795 of the family's 1533-position model. The record is from RNAcentral.
CCUACGGGUGGCAGCAGUAGGGAAUCUUCCACAAUGGGCGAAAGCCUGAUGGAGCAACGCCGCGUGGGUGAAGAAGGUCUUCGGAUCGUAAAACCCUGUUGUUAGAGAAGAAAGUGCGUGAGAGUAACUGUUCACGUUUCGACGGUAUCUAACCAGAAAGCCACGGCUAACUACGUGCCAGCGGCCGCGGUAAUACGUAGGUGGCAAGCGUUAUCCGGAUUUAUUGGGCGUAAAGGGAACGCAGGCGGUCUUUUAAGUCUGAUGUGAAAGCCUUCGGCUUAACCGGAAUAGUGCAUUGGAAACUGGGAGACUUGAGUGCAGAAGAGGAGAGUGGAACUCGAUGUGUAGCGGUGAAAUGCGUAGAGAUAUGGAAGAACACCAGUGGCGAAAGCGGCUCUCUGGACUGUAACUGACGCUGAGGUUCGAAAGCGUGGGUAGCAAACAGGAUUAGAUACCCGAGUAGUC